RNAcentral lists this ribosomal RNA (305 nucleotides) under uncultured bacterium. Its description in RNAcentral is "bacterial SSU rRNA". It matches the Rfam family "Bacterial small subunit ribosomal RNA", at positions 333 to 649 of the family's 1533-position model. The record is from RNAcentral.
UUAGGCCUACGGGGCGCAGCAGUCGAGAAUCAUUCACAAUGGGGGAAACCCUGAUGGUGCGACGCCGCGUGGGGGCAUGAAGGUCUUCGGAUUGUAAACCCCUGUCAUGUGGGAGCAAAUUAAAAAGAUAGUACCACAAGAGGAAGAGACGGCUAACUCUGUGCCAGCAGCCGCGGUAAUACAGAGGUCUCAAGCGUUGUUCGGAAUCACUGGGCGUAAAGCGUGCGUAGGCUGUUUCGUAAGUCGUGUGUGAAAGGCGCGGGCUCAACCCGAGGCCGGCACAUGAUACUGCGAGACUAGAGUAG